UACAGAGGGUGCGAGCGUUAAUCGGAAUUACUGGGCGUAAAGCGCACGUAGGCGGCUUGGUAUGUCGGGUGUGAAAUCCCCGGGCUCAACCUGGGAACUGCAUCCGAAACUGCCUUGCUCGAGUAUGGGAGAGGGAAGUGGAAUUUCCGGUGUAGCGGUGAAAUGCGUAGAUAUCUGGAGGAACACCGGUGGCGAAGGCGGCAUCCUGGACCAACACUGACGCUGAGGAGCGAAAGCCAGGGGAGCAAACGGG
This 253-nucleotide ribosomal RNA is filed under the name uncultured bacterium. Its description in RNAcentral is "partial 16S ribosomal RNA". It matches the Rfam family "Bacterial small subunit ribosomal RNA", at positions 524 to 776 of the family's 1533-position model. The record is from RNAcentral.